GAGUUUGAUCGUGGCUCAGAUUGAACGCUGGCGGCAUGCCUUACACAUGCAAGUCGAACGGCAGCACGGGAGCUUGCUCCUGGUGGCGAGUGGCGAACGGGUGAGUAAUGCAUCGGAACGUAUCCUGGAGUGGGGGAUAACGUAGCGAAAGUUACGCUAAUACCGCAUAUUCUGUGAGCAGGAAAGCGGGGGACCUUCGGGCCUCGCGCUCUUGGAGCGGCCGAUGUCGGAUUAGCUAGUUGGUGAGGUAAAGGCUCACCAAGGCGACGAUCCGUAGCAGGUCUGAGAGGAUGAUCUGCCACACUGGAACUGAGACACGGUCCAGACUCCUACGGGAGGCAGCAGUGGGAAUUUGGACAAUGGGGGCAACCCUGAUCCAGCCAUGCCGCGUGAGUGAAGAAGGCCU
This 406-nucleotide ribosomal RNA is filed under the name bacterium enrichment culture clone ALO1_GLFRUDD03G16Z7. RNAcentral's name for it is "bacterial SSU rRNA". It matches the Rfam family "Bacterial small subunit ribosomal RNA", at positions 9 to 417 of the family's 1533-position model. The record is from RNAcentral. RNAcentral also lists the same sequence under 2 other names.